RNAcentral lists this ribosomal RNA (293 nucleotides) under uncultured bacterium. Its description in RNAcentral is "partial 16S ribosomal RNA". It matches the Rfam family "Bacterial small subunit ribosomal RNA", at positions 775 to 1067 of the family's 1533-position model. The record is from RNAcentral.
GGAUUAGAUACCCUGGUAGUCCACGCUGUAAACGAUGUCAACUAGCCGUUGGAGGACUUGAUCUUUUAGUGGCGCAGCUAACGCGAUAAGUUGACCGCCUGGGGAGUACGGCCGCAAGGUUAAAACUCAAAUGAAUUGACGGGGGCCCGCACAAGCGGUGGAGCAUGUGGUUUAAUUCGAUGCAACGCGAAGAACCUUACCAGGUCUUGACAUCCUGAGAAUUCUGUAGAGAUACGGGAGUGCCUUCGGGAAUUCAGAGACAGGUGCUGCAUGGCUGUCGUCAGCUCGUGCUG